AACCUUUAGCCAAACAAGCAUUAAAGGCAACGCCUGCCCAGUGAACAAUUAAACGGCCGCGGUACCCUAACCGUGCAAAGGUAGCAUAAUCAUUUGUCUACUAAUUAUAGACCUGUAUGAAAGGCAAAAUGAGGGUUUAACUGUCUCUUAUAGUCAAUCAAUUAAAUUGAUCUCCUAGUAAAAAAGCUAGGAUUCACACAUAAGACCAGAAGACCCUGUGAAGCUUUAAUUAAACUAUUAAACCUAAUAAUAACUAAUUUCGGUUGGGGCGACCUUGGAAAUAAAAAGAACUUCCAAUAAACGACCUACAUCGUACCACCUUUGGGCCUACAAGCCAUAAUGACCCAGCACAGCUGAUAAACGGACCAAGUUACUCCAGGGAUAACAGCGCAAUCUUCUUCAAGAGCCCAUAUCAAAAAGAAGGUUUACGACCUCGAUGUUGGAUCAGGACAUCCUAAUGGUGCAGCCGCUAUUAAGGGUUCGUUUGUUCAACGAUUAACAGUCCC
RNAcentral lists this ribosomal RNA (506 nucleotides) under Telescopus pulcher. RNAcentral's name for it is "partial large subunit ribosomal RNA". It matches the Rfam family "Bacterial large subunit ribosomal RNA", at positions 1816 to 2597 of the family's 2925-position model. The record is from RNAcentral. Lineage: Eukaryota; Metazoa; Chordata; Lepidosauria; Squamata; Colubridae.